Molecule: ribosomal RNA, 240 nt
Filed under: uncultured bacterium
Lineage: Bacteria
Description: partial 16S ribosomal RNA
Rfam family: Bacterial small subunit ribosomal RNA
Source: RNAcentral
UGACCCUACGGGACGCAGCAGUGAGGAAUAUUGGUCAAUGGACGAGAGUCUGAACCAGCCAAGUAGCGUGAAGGAUGACUGCCCUAUGGGUUGUAAACUUCUUUUAUAUGGGAAUAAAAUGUUCCACGUGUGGGAUUUUGUAUGUACCAUAUGAAUAAGGAUCGGCUAACUCCGUGCCAGCAGCCGCGGUAAUACGGAGGAUCCGCGCGUUAUCCGGACUUAUUGGGUUUAAAGGGAGCG